Molecule: long non-coding RNA, 1270 nt
Filed under: Setaria italica (foxtail millet)
Lineage: Eukaryota; Viridiplantae; Streptophyta; Magnoliopsida; Poales; Poaceae
Description: long non-coding RNA (SITA_LNC005121)
Source: RNAcentral
GCCAGUCGCUCGAUCCCCUCGCCGUGGCAUGCAGGACUCCCUCCGGUCUCUCCUGGAAUUCGCCUCGCCGGGGUCGGAGCCUUAGCUCCCCUCAGGCCUGGCGCCUGUUGGAUUUCACCGCAGCCGGCUGUCUCCAGGGUGAGCUCAGCUUACCGCCUCCCGGUCCUGAUUUUUCUCGCUCCUCCUAUUCCUUCUCCCUCCACACGGGGUUGAAUCAGGCUCCUCUGACUUUGUAGCUACUCCGCGCGAGUGCGCACUGCAAAUCUCUUCUUUUCUUGGAUACUUGUGGCUGGACCUGCACAACUCUCAAACUCUCCCUAUGCAUCUGGAAUGGAUACAAAUAUACAAUUACUGUGAAAAAGCUCGUAUUUUUCUAAUCUUCAGCAGCUUUCAUCUUUCCCUUUACUAAUUACUAGCUGCUAAAAGGGGAAUACUGGUUCCCCAUCUGGUGAUGCAUUGCUAGUUGCUACCCACUGGGUAAGACAAAAACAAGGUAGUAUCAAUAAGAAAACAGUGGUUACCACUUUCUACAUUACUGAGAAAAUUGCCUUUUACUAAUCAUGAUUCCAUUUCAAACAAUAGAGGGUACAUUUGAUGGGACUAUGGGAGCGAUGAGUCAAUAUGCUAUUUGAAGAGUCGGUUGUAGAUCGAGGUCAAUAUGACCACAUAAACUGGCUGAUUGUGUGAACAAGCCACAACAAUGUGAAAUCAACAUAGUGCUAUACCAAAGUAUAGCUAUGCAAUCGCUUUGAGAUGCUAAGAAUAUAAGAAAUAUCCUAUAUCCAUCUCCUACCUGGUGUGUUCUUUGUGUGUGUAUUUUCACUAUGUGUAGAUCCUAGAUCCUGAACUAACAGAGAGUAGUACGAAUACAGAAGUAAUUUGAUGACCAAGCCUCUGUUUCAGCCCUAAAAGAAGAAUAAUAAAAGAGCCCUCUUUCUGCUUUGCAUACCCAGAUGAUGACUGGAAUUUAUCUCUACAGGAAAACCACACACACUUGGCCCAUUUUCAUGUCCUACAAGACUCCAAUAGUAUUUUCCAAGUCUCACUUCCACCACCUGGGUGGCUCAUCUGCCCAAGGGGUUCUGUGCUGAAGUAGCAUGCUAACAUUCAGUCCCUCACGCUCUUUCCAUCACAGUUCUAAAAUCUACAUCAUGCAAAGGGCACAAACCGGUAACUGUAAGAAUUUCUAUUUGAGAACUUUCUGAAUGGUUGUAAGUUUUGACAAUGCAUGGCCUUGGAUGUAAAAAAAUGUUCCUGCCUGAUUAAUUUU